Long non-coding RNA from Neltuma alba, 356 nucleotides. RefSeq lists it as uncharacterized. The transcript has 3 exons. NCBI's taxonomy places the organism in Eukaryota, Viridiplantae, Streptophyta, Magnoliopsida, Fabales, Fabaceae. The record is from RefSeq and is a predicted model, not a curated record.
GAUAGAGUGAAGUAGGGAGCCGCAAUCGAUGACGAGGCGAUGAACUCCGAGCCAGCGACGGCGAUUUGAUUGGUGGCCAGCGUUAAUGCCUCUGCGUUUCUUCGUGCUUCUCUGCUGCAGGAGGGCUAUUGUUAGCAAAAGUGGUGGCAGUAACAUUCUGUGUCAUUUUGGCAGCGUCACUGGUACAAGACUUGGUUCAAUUCCCAUGGCUGCAUUUCAAGCUUGCCCUGCUGUUGCUUUACAGGAGUUGAUUUGAAGAAAGCAGAGUGAUUUUUGGUCGAGUUAUAACAUGAAUAAUCAUGGUCAACAUCAAGGAGCCAUAAAGAGGAGUGGGAUGGAUGGAAGGCAUAAUAUGU